UGUUUAAAAUACAAGACGGAGUAUAAUUAUUAUUAAUAAUAGAAUAAAAUAGAGUGUGUGUGUCUAAAAAGUACCUAAUAUUUAUUAUAGAUUUUCUUUAUUACUUUACUUUUUUCUGGAGUUCUAGCUAUAAUAAAUAAAUUUUGUAUAUGUGUAAUUUAACAUAAACACUUUCAAACUUUGUUAAAAAAACGUUUGCAGGACUGAUUUUUUGCAAAUAUUAAAAAACAACAAAAACGAGAAUAAAAAACGAAACAACAAAUCUUCCAAAUCUAGUCUUCUUCUUAAUUUUUAAAACGAUAUAAAUAUAACAAAAACUUUUAACUUCUUAACGAAUAACAAGUAAAAAUUCCAGCACAUUGUGGUCGCAAGCAAAAUGACACCUUCACAUCGUCAGGAGUUUUGUGUACGCUGGAACAGUCAUUUGGGCAGUAUAGGAGCAGCAUUUCCCCAGCUUUUAGCUGGUCAACGUUUCGUAGAUGUCACAUUAGCUUGUGAAGGACAUCAGGUGCAUUGUCAUCGUUUAGUUUUGGCCGCCUGUUCUUCAUAUUUUGAAAGUAUUUUGGCGGAAAAUCCCUGUAAACAUCCUGUCAUUAUAUUACCCUCAGAAAUUAAAUUAUGGGAGAUACAGGCUUUGGUGGAUUUUAUGUAUAAAGGUGAGGUAAAUGUUACCCAGGCUGGUUUGCCUCAAUUACUAAGAUGUGCCGAACAGUUGCGUAUUAGAGGAUUAUAUGGUUCAGAUGCUGCACUAAACCUGAAUCAGCUAAAAGCCAUGAGUGGUAAGGUCAAUGUGGCAAGUUCUAAUAACAAUAAUAAUAACAACAAUAUGGCCAACAAUACAACGGCAGAGAGUAAUGAAGAUGAGGAGGAUACAGCCACUAAUUCGACAACAACCACAACCGCCACAGCAGCCAGUACUAUACAGACAAAUGCUGCACAACAGCAACAACAACAACAAUUACAACAGCAGCAACAACAACAACAACAAAUUGUUAUUAAAAAGGAACCCACCAGCACACCAUCACACUCUUCAAAUCACUCGACACUUUCACAAAAUCUGCAAGUUUUAAAUCCUGCUAAUCUUAAAACCAUUAUGAGAAAUCCUUUAGCUUUGGCGGCCGUAGCAGCUUCUUCAUUUGCUCCUAAUGACUCUGGCGAUGAAUCCACUUCAAAUGCCUAUGAACAUUAUGAAAAUAGUCAAAAUGCCAAUACAGCUGCACCUGCACCACCCACCGGCCAUCUAAUGUCACAUCAUAUGGAUUCCACUGUCGAAGAAGAUCAUAAUUAUGUGGCCCAUGAUGAGGAUGAUAGUUUUGGUGGUGCCAUGGCUGAUUCAGAACAUGAUUCUACCGCCAAUAAUUCUAUGCUACAAUCUAUGGAUAAUAAUUGCUCCCUUAGGCGUAUACGACGUUCGGAAGAGUCUUUAGAACAGGCGGCCAAAUGUGUUUCCAAAGGUCAGACCUUCCAAACGGUUAGUAAUAUGUUUAAUAUACCCGUUUCCACAAUACGUUUCUAUAUGGCACGCAAAGGCAUUUUACCCAAACGUAAACGUGGUCGAGGUGCUUCCAAUACCGGAGGUACUAUGUCUGGUUUAAAUAUGUCUGGAGCAGCAGCUGCCGCCAAUGCGGCCGCUGUUAUGUCUCAAGCUUUGGCUCAAAUUAAACGUGCCGACAGUCCUAGUGCAGCGCAAUUCGGUGAGGCUCCUUAUCAUUUAAUGGGCUAUAAAAUGGAACCUGGUACCGCGCAUUUGGUUUAAGGAUAUCUUAAGGAGAAAUGGUCUCUCUCUAUCUCCCCUUUUAUAGGCCGCUAAAACUAAAGUUCCAUUAAACGAACUUUACAUUAAAAACAAAACAAAAAUAUCUUUAAUAAAAAAAACAAACAGAAUCUAUAAUAAAUCUAUAAGCUUUUAGCUUUCUUUUUUUUAAAUUAUUAAUCAAAAAGAAAAGCUACACAAAUUGUAAGAAUGUAUAAAUAUAAUGAAAAAGCUCUCUAACAGAUGUAUUAUAUAAAUAUUAAGUAAUUAAGAAAAAAGAAAGAAAAACUUUUGCCACAAAAAUAUAAGUUACUCUCUAAUUCUCUUCAUAAGAUAAGCUCAUUAUUUUUACUCAAACUUUUUGUAAAUUAAAAAAAUAUUUUUUAUUAAGCUUAACAUAUUAAGCUUUUUAUAAAAUUUAAGUUUUAUUUAAUUUAAUUUUUGUAAUUUUAUUUUUAUAUACAAUAUUUAUUAUUAUUAAGCCAGUCAGUAUGUUUAGUAUUUAAAUACAUAUUUUAUACAAAUGAACACUUAAUUAUAUAUCUAAUAAUAUAAUUUUAAGCGUUAGUAAAUUGAUGAAAUUCUGUUUAA
RNAcentral lists this unclassified non-coding RNA (2344 nucleotides) under Lucilia cuprina (Australian sheep blowfly). Its description in RNAcentral is "protein abrupt, transcript variant X3". Lineage: Eukaryota; Metazoa; Arthropoda; Insecta; Diptera; Calliphoridae. The record is from RNAcentral.